Molecule: ribosomal RNA, 308 nt
Filed under: Escherichia coli
Lineage: Bacteria; Pseudomonadati; Pseudomonadota; Gammaproteobacteria; Enterobacterales; Enterobacteriaceae
Description: bacterial SSU rRNA
Rfam family: Bacterial small subunit ribosomal RNA
Source: RNAcentral
AAAUUGAAGAGUUUGAUCAUGGCUCAGAUUGAACGCUGGCGGCAGGCCUAACACAUGCAAGUCGAACGGUAACAGGAAGCAGCUUGCUGCUUCGCUGACGAGUGGCGGACGGGUGAGUAAUGUCUGGGAAACUGCCUGAUGGAGGGGGAUAACUACUGGAAACGGUAGCUAAUACCGCAUAACGUCGCAAGACCAAAGAGGGGGACCUUCGGGCCUCUUGCCAUCGGAUGUGCCCAGAUGGGAUUAGCUAGUAGGUGGGGUAACGGCUCACCUAGGCGACGAUCCCUAGCUGGUCUGAGAGGAUGGCC